AAUCCUGAAUGUUUUACUUUUGGCUGAACUCAUCGCCCUCAGUGUUCACACUCAUGACAUGACAGCAGAUUUUUCUGACAUCAGCAACAUUCUGACCGACCAGAACAGCAACAGCGAGUUUCCCUCCAUGAACGCCAACUUCACUGAAACGGCUCCACGAGCUGAAGACACUUUAAGGGAAAUUGUGUCCUACAGAACGAACAAACAUCAGUUGUUCCUGUUCAUCCAGGGGCUGCGGAAGAAGAGAAGAGCAGAUCCACUAGUGAUGGAUGAUUAGGAUCUGUGUUCACUGUGAUAUUAUUCACCAACAAUAAUGUAGCUUAUGGUGUUACAUAAAAUCCUAAAGAUGAAAUGUACACUUCCAACUGUUGUGACCUGCAUCUAAUAACACAACUAUUUUAUCGCUUGUACUCUGUGUUUUUCUUUCUUGUUAAAACUCUGACGUGAUAAACAAACGUUUUUCUUUUUGUUUGUUGUUUUUUUUUUUUGUAUUUUUGCGGAGAAUCGGUUGAUGCGUUCUGAUUGUGUAUUAAUGUGACUUUUACUACGAAACUUUAUGGAGUUCCAGUUGUGUCCGGUAAUAGUGGAUUAAGUUCUAUCUUGGUAAAAUUAUAUUUCCAAUUAUUUACUAUCAUUUGUAAUAAAGUGAUGCCAACACCACGGA
Xiphophorus hellerii (green swordtail) is the source of this 664-nucleotide long non-coding RNA. RefSeq lists it as uncharacterized. The transcript is spliced from 3 exons. The record is from RefSeq and is a predicted model, not a curated record. Lineage: Eukaryota; Metazoa; Chordata; Actinopteri; Cyprinodontiformes; Poeciliidae.